GCAGCCGCGGUAAUUCCAGCUCCAAUAGCGUAUAUUAAAGUUGUUGCAGUUAAAAAGCUCGUAGUUGAAUUUCGGGAUCAAUUUAUCGGUCGUGCCUCUGGUAUGCACUGGUAUUAUUGAUUUCUACCUUCUGACGAACCAUGAUGUCAUUAAUUUGGUGUCAUGGGGAAUCAGGACUGUUACUUUGAAAAAAUUAGAGUGUUUAAAGCAAGCACACGCUUGAAUACAUUAGCAUGGAAUAAUGAAAUAGGACGUUUGACCCUAUUUUGUUGGUUUCUAGGAUCGACGUAAUGAUUAAUAGGGAUAGUUGGG
This 312-nucleotide ribosomal RNA is filed under the name uncultured Glomus. RNAcentral's name for it is "SSU rRNA". It matches the Rfam family "Eukaryotic small subunit ribosomal RNA", at positions 570 to 886 of the family's 1831-position model. The record is from RNAcentral. Lineage: Eukaryota; Fungi; Glomeromycota; Glomeromycetes; Glomerales; Glomeraceae.